RNAcentral lists this ribosomal RNA (497 nucleotides) under uncultured bacterium. RNAcentral's name for it is "partial 16S ribosomal RNA". It matches the Rfam family "Bacterial small subunit ribosomal RNA", at positions 28 to 507 of the family's 1533-position model. The record is from RNAcentral.
GACGAACGCUGGCGGCGUGCCUAAUACAUGCAAGUUGAGCGCUGAAGGUUGGUACUUGUACCAACUGGAUGAGCAGCGAACGGGUGAGUAACGCGUGGGGAAUCUGCCUUUGAGCGGGGGACAACAUUUGGAAACGAAUGCUAAUACCGCAUAAAAACUUUAAACACAAGUUUUAAGUUUGAAAGAUGCAAUUGCAUCACUCAAAGAUGAUCCCGCGUUGUAUUAGCUAGUUGGUGAGGUAAAGGCUCACCAAGGCGAUGAUACAUAGCCGACCUGAGAGGGUGAUCGGCUACAUUGGGACUGAGACACGGCCCAAACUCCUACGGGAGGCAGCAGUAGGGAAUCUUCGGCAAUGGACGAAAGUCUGACCGAGCAACGCCGCGUGAGUGAAGAAGGUUUUCGGAUCGUAAAACUCUGUUGGUAGAGAAGAACGUUGGUGAGAGUGGAAAGCUCAUCAAGUGACGGUAACUACACAGAAAGGGACGGCUAACUACGUG